ACCUCUACCCAGAUACUGCUUCUCCACGAAGCCUUUCUUCACACACAUACAUGCAUGCGAGGCUAUGGUGACACCAAGCCCUGGAUGCUGGUCCCACGUGGCGUCAGAGGGAUAGUGGCAUGUUUGUAAACCUAAGACAGCUACAAGUCAUUCAUUCACUGGGAGACAUCACUGAGGCCAUCAUCGGCACCAGACCCUACAGGCCCUCAGAUGGGUGUGGACAGACUGGAUGUGGGCACACACAAUGGCCACUGACCAGACUGCCACCAUAGUCCAUUGUGACCUUCCAGAAUCUGUGCAUGUGCAAACAUGCCCUUACAUGACAGUCUUCGCGCAUCUUCUGAACCCUGCUUGGUCAUUUCCAAGAAAUAGAUCUCAUGACUUAUAAAUUCCGGUGAAAUACAGUACAGAUCCAAGAAAAUGUGGAAAUGAAAGGAACAUGCCAUGAUGCAUUGGCCCAUUCUUCUGUGGAUGGACUUCAGGAUUGUUUCCAACCUGGGGCUGCUGGGAAUACGGCUGCUGUGACACUUCGGAUACAUGAUGAAGAAACCAAGAGCUACAGAGGUGGAGCCAUCUGCCUGUCUGGCGCUGCUGGUGCCAUUUGUGCCACGGCCCAUCUCCUGGACUUGAGUCCAGGGCUUCUUUUUACGGACUCUCUGGCAAACAGGCGGGCCCCUUCUGUGAGAACCACUGAUACAGUCCGACCGCCUCAUUUGGGGAAGAGAAACAGACCCAGAAAACAGAGGCAUCUUGUCUAA
This 758-nucleotide long non-coding RNA is filed under the name Vulpes vulpes (red fox). Its description in RNAcentral is "lncRNA (ENSVVUG00000001598.1)". Lineage: Eukaryota; Metazoa; Chordata; Mammalia; Carnivora; Canidae. The record is from RNAcentral.